Molecule: long non-coding RNA, 205 nt
Filed under: Prunus persica (peach)
Lineage: Eukaryota; Viridiplantae; Streptophyta; Magnoliopsida; Rosales; Rosaceae
Description: long non-coding RNA (PPER_LNC007648)
Source: RNAcentral
AAAGCUUAUUAGUUGUCAUAGUUUCUGUUUUGUGGGUUUCAAAUUACCAAUUUGGCCUUGCCAGUACCAUCAUGUGAAAGCUGUAUGUCCCUCAUACAUAUGGUCCUGUCCUAGGGAUCAGAGAACUUGCACUCCCAGCAAUGAGUUUGAGGAAUAAAUGCUUAAUUAUAACUUAAGAGGAUGAAGGUUAUUAGAAGCAUUAAUU